This 208-nucleotide long non-coding RNA is filed under the name Lathyrus oleraceus (garden pea). RNAcentral describes it as "Pisum sativum (pea) long non-coding RNA (PSAT_LNC006157)". Lineage: Eukaryota; Viridiplantae; Streptophyta; Magnoliopsida; Fabales; Fabaceae. The record is from RNAcentral.
CAGUCUUCAGGAAUUUUAUCAAUGCAUUGGCAUGAGAUUCAGAGGAUAACAGCAAGGAUAACAUCGAGAUCUUGGACGGAGUAUGCCCCAACUGUUCUACAACAUCAAAAUCACUCUUGCGAAUGAUUUUCAGCACUUCUUCCAUUUCUUGUUUGGCAACAUCUUCGGGAGUAACUUCGACCGGUGUCUCUGACUGAGAAGGAUUGAC